RNAcentral lists this ribosomal RNA (202 nucleotides) under uncultured cyanobacterium. RNAcentral describes it as "partial 16S ribosomal RNA". It matches the Rfam family "Bacterial small subunit ribosomal RNA", at positions 1179 to 1382 of the family's 1533-position model. Lineage: Bacteria; Bacillati; Cyanobacteriota. The record is from RNAcentral.
AUGACGUCAAGUCAGCAUGGCCUUACUCCGGGGCUACACACGUGCUACAAUGGCCGGUCAAAGGGUUGCGAAGCCGUGAGGUGGAGCGAAUCUCAAAAAGCCGGCCUCAGUUCGGAUUGGAGGCUGCAACUCGCCUCCAUGAAGUCGGAAUCGCUAGUAACCGCAGAUCAGCUACGUUGCGGUGAAUACGUUCCCGGGCCUU